GAUGAACGCUGGCGGCGUGCCUAAUACAUGCAAGUCGAGCGAACAGACUAAGAACUUUCUCCUCUGACGUUACCGGCGGACGGAUUAGUAAACCGUGGAUAACCUACCUAUAAGACUGGGAUAAAUUCGGGGAACCGGAGCUAAUACCGGAUAAUAUAUUGAACCACAUGAUUCAAUAGUAAAAGACGAUUUUGAUGUCACUUAUAGAUGAAUCCGCGCCUCAUUAGCUUGUUGUUAAGGUAACGGUUUACCAAGGCCACGAUGGGUAUCCGACCUGAGAGGGUGAUAGGCCACACUGGAACGGAGACACGGUCCAGACCCCUACGGGAGGGAGCCGUAGGAAACCCUCCGCAAUGGGCGAAAGGGUGAAGGAGCAACGCCGCGUGAGUGAUGAAGGUAGUCGGGUCGUAAAACUCAGUUAUUAGGGAAGAAGAAAUGUGUAAGUAACUAUGCACGUCUUGACGGUACUUAACCAGAAAGCUCCGGCUAACUACGUG
This 497-nucleotide ribosomal RNA is filed under the name uncultured bacterium. Its description in RNAcentral is "partial 16S ribosomal RNA". It matches the Rfam family "Bacterial small subunit ribosomal RNA", at positions 28 to 507 of the family's 1533-position model. The record is from RNAcentral.